Molecule: ribosomal RNA, 158 nt
Filed under: Umbilicaria esculenta
Lineage: Eukaryota; Fungi; Ascomycota; Lecanoromycetes; Umbilicariales; Umbilicariaceae
Also listed under: 2 other names
Description: 5.8S ribosomal RNA
Rfam family: 5.8S ribosomal RNA
About the family: 5.8S ribosomal RNA (5.8S rRNA) is a component of the large subunit of the eukaryotic ribosome. It is transcribed by RNA polymerase I as part of the 45S precursor that also contains 18S and 28S rRNA. Functionally, it is thought that 5.8S rRNA may be involved in ribosome translocation.
Source: RNAcentral
UAAAACUUUCAACAACGGAUCUCUUGGUUCUGGCAUCGAUGAAGAACGCAGCGAAAUGCGAUAAGUAAUGUGAAUUGCAGAAUUCAGUGAAUCAUCGAAUCUUUGAACGCACAUUGCGCCCCCUGGUAUUCCGGGGGGCAUGCCUGUUCGAGCGUCAU